Molecule: long non-coding RNA, 3323 nt
Filed under: Homo sapiens (human)
Lineage: Eukaryota; Metazoa; Chordata; Mammalia; Primates; Hominidae
Description: non-protein coding lnc-APOB-5:5
Source: RNAcentral
CCCAUGUCUGGAGGAGGAGUGGUCACAUGGCAGGCUUUCCUCUACUAUAUGAGCCCUGCAUUUCUGAAUGCCUUGAAAGAAAAACCAGCAAGUUGGGAGGGCCGUGUCUCCUUAUCAUCUUCCAGGAAUUCAAAACCGUGAUUUCCAGUUUCCAAAUGCAACUCAAGCUCCAUCACCCUGUACAUCUUGCACGGUUUCUCCAGCAUAUCCUGAUCGCCACCUCCAGACCCUUCUGAUAGAUUCAUUACCUGAAUCUAUUUGAUCCUGAACUCCUGCUCUCCCUUGGCUCAACCUCAUCACAGCCAGAAAGGAUGAGAGCUCUUUAAUGAAGUGCAUACAUGUCAGUUUCCCAGGACACAAACCAAAGUAAAGAAGAAUGGAGCAUGCUCCUAUAAAGGAAAAUAAAAGGAGAUCCAUAAAGCAAAUCCAACUCAUGGACACUUACUAAACAUGCACUGUGUUCAUGUAAUGGCUCCAAGAAUCUUAGUGGACAUGGACGGAAGUACACACCUGGAGUGGACCUACAGAAGCUCAGAGUCAAAUGGCAGAAAGAUGAUAUGGGCAUUGAAUACAUUAAAUGAAAAUAAAAGUAAUAAAUCACAAGAGAAGAGAGUAACUGAGGGUGUCACUGGGCAGUACAUUAGCAAUUAAUUACCAGACACCUAUGCAGUUAAAAUGUACUGCUGGCCUUCAAAGGUGAAGGAAUCCAUGGCCUGGAAUGACCAUAAAAAAUUUAUUUUAACAAAAAGACAUGACUGUAGCCUUUUAGGGUAAAGAGAUUUUAACAUUUGAAGAGCAGAGAGACAGGUACAGCAUUGCAGGCUAGGAAAUGUGGGAGUUCAAAAUGGCAGACCAGGAGGAAGGCAAGUUGUGUUUGGGAAAAUUGACUUUAUGGUUAUUAGAAAGACCAUGUAAGCAAGCAGAGAUCAAUUGUGCUAGAAAUGUUUUUCAAAUUGAGCAUCUGGUGUGUGUUAGGCACUGCUCUCGGCACUGGGGAUACAGCUGUGAACAUGAUCAACAAGGACCCUGCAAUCAUGGAGAUUAAAUUAUAGUGAGGCAAACAGAAUAUAAAUAAAUAUACACAUUAGGUGAAAGCCAGACAGCUUCGGGUCUUAUGGAGAGAGUUACUGUUGGAGCAUGUACUAGAGAAUGACUAAAUGGUAACUAUAUGGGAUGGUCGAAGAUGACCUCAAUGAGGAAUCUCUACACUUAGAUAAGACCCAAAUAGCAAGAAUGGUUCUUGUUCUGUAUUAUAAUCAAGAGGAAGAGGAUUUCAGGCAGAGGGAAAAAUGGGAUCCAUGGGCUAAAACAGGUACUUGAAUGAUGUUUUUGAGGAAAUAAAUGAAGAUCAGGGUGGCUAGAGCAUUGUGAUGAAGGUUUACACCAGGUGCUGGCUGGUUUUUAUUCCUAGUGAGAGACAAUUGUUGCAUUUUCAGGGAUUUUGUAAGGCAAUUCAUAUAACGUUGGUAGCUUAUAAUUGACUAUGGUAGGAAUAUUCAUACCUGAGAAAUCGGCAAACACUGUGAAUCAGGACUCCCUCUUUGUCCCCAACCCUCAACUCCCAUUCAGAGAGCCUGUUUUUGAGUAUUUUCUUGCAUACCACAGAGUGAGUAUAAGAAGCAGCUGGAAUAGUAACUAGGAACCAAUCAUCUUAGGCUUUAUAAGGCAGAGAAAGGAAUUUUAAUUUUAGGUGUGUUGGGAAGCCAUUAGUGGGUCUUAUGUAGGAAAUGAAUAUGGUCUGAUUUACAUAUGUAAAGGAUAAUUCUGAGUAUGUUAUGGAACACUUUGUAAAUAGGUAAAAAGAGAAAUAGGAAAAUCAGCUAUUGCAUUAGACUCAGUUAGAAGUGGCAGUGGUUUUGCUAGGGGUUAUAUAAAAGGAAGAAAACUUAAUAAUGUUAGGCCUGACUAUAGGUAGAAUCUAUAGUUUUUACUCAUGAAUUGGAUGUAAGAAUUGAGGAGAAACGAAGAACCAAGUAAAAAUUUUGAGCUUUGGCUUGGGAAACUAGGUAUAUGGUAACGCCAAAAAGAGAGAUGUAGAGAAUUGAUGUAGGAGCAAAGCUGGGCUGGGAAAUUGAGAAAAUUAUACCUGCCUUGUUAAAGUUGAAACACCCACAUGACACUCACCUGGAAGGAUAUUCACACUUGGAUUGUUGGGGAAUAAUAAGAACUAGAGAUACAGUUUGAGGGUCACUGGCAUAGAGAUAGUAAUUAAAACCAGGAUGUCAGUUAUAUCACCUAGGGAUAAUGCAAAGAGAGAGAAAAGCAGGAGAUAAGACAGAUCGAGCAGUGGGAGAAGCCGGCAUUGAAGAAUGAAGAGGAAAACCAGGCGUGUCUAGUGCCAUGAUGCCAAGAGAAAAACCCAGCUCCGAGAAGACAGGAGUUUGUUUGCUAAUGUUAUUGAGGGAUAAAGUAAAAUACGAAGAGAGAAGUAACUUGGACUGGCGGCAAAGCGAUCACCAGUGCUCCUUCUAACUGUGGUGUCGAUAAAGUAAUGUGGACUGGAUGAAGGAGCCUCGUUGGAAUAAACUCAUAUAGGAAUGAUGAUACCGUGUUUACCUACUAAUGGGAAUGACCCUAUUGAAGAGGGAACAUCACGUAUGUUGGGGAGCGGAAAAGUCAAAGUCCUCGAAAAGGAAGCACUUUGGAAACCAAUGGCUGAAAAGUUUGCUUUCUGUGAGAAGUGUAAAUCAAAGUCAUGUUUCUGUUUCCAGCAGUAGAGGAAAGAGAGAUAAACCUGAUGGACACAAGCAGGGCCCUGGAUCCACUUUAAAGGGACAUCCAUGGAAACCAAAGAGAUAAGACUGUGCCUCGUCAAUAAAAACCCCACAUCUCUGGGACUCUGCCACCUGGGGCAUUGUUGCCCUGAAGGAAGAAGCUGAAGGGGAGAUUUAGUUCAUUUGAUUAUCAGCCAGAGAGGAGCCAUCCUUCAAGGCCUCCCAGUCUCUGGCUGCAGCAGUAACUGUAACACUUUCAGCAAGUCUGUACCUAGGCCUUGAUCUGUGUGUAACUUUGGAGGUAGUUGAGCCGUUAUUUGAAAGAAUAUUAUUUUGAGCAAAGGAAGGAGCAGUAAGAGCUUUGGCUCUCCAAUGGGGAAAAAUGUAUUCAUCCUUUCAAACCUCUCAGUUAGACUUAGGCAAAAUGCCCAAUCUGCAGAAAACAAUUGGAGAUCCCUCUGAGGUCCUACUUGGUGGAUCUUCUCUCUUAGAAGUGAAUAGACACAGGAGCACAGGGGUCUUAUGCAAUAGAUAAAAGUUCCUGCCUCUGGACACACAGCUCAACCUCCAGUCUCUGAUAGAGGGAGGACCUAUGCCUUUCCAUGUGUG